This 262-nucleotide ribosomal RNA is filed under the name uncultured bacterium. Its description in RNAcentral is "partial 16S ribosomal RNA". It matches the Rfam family "Bacterial small subunit ribosomal RNA", at positions 96 to 353 of the family's 1533-position model. The record is from RNAcentral.
UGGCGGACGGGUGAGUAAUGUCUGGGAAACUGCCUGAUGGGAGGGGGGAUAACUACUGGAAACGGUAGCUAAUACCGCAUAACGUCGCAAGACCAAAGAGGGGGGACCUUCGGGCCUCUUGCCAUCGGAUGUGCCCCAGAUGGGAUUAGCUAGUAGGUGGGGGUAACGGGCUCACCUAGGCGACGAUCCCUAGCUGGUCUGAGAGGAUGACCAGCCACACUGGAACUGAGACACGGUCCAGACUCCUACGGGAGGCAGCAUG